CACGUAGGGGGCAAGCGUUGUCCGGAUUUAUUGGGCGUAAAGAGCGUGUAGGCGGCUAGGUAGGUCCGUUGUGAAAACUCGAGGCUCAACCUCGAGACGCCGGUGGAAACCAUCUAGCUAGAGUCCGGAAGAGGAGAGUGGAAUUCCUGGUGUAGCGGUGAAAUGCGCAGAUAUCAGGAAGAACACCCGUGGCGAAGGCGGCUCUCUGGGACGUGACUGACGCUGAGACGCGAAAGCGUGGGGAGCGAACAGG
Molecule: ribosomal RNA, 253 nt
Filed under: uncultured bacterium
Lineage: Bacteria
Description: partial 16S ribosomal RNA
Rfam family: Bacterial small subunit ribosomal RNA
Source: RNAcentral